Molecule: unclassified non-coding RNA, 1484 nt
Filed under: Hevea brasiliensis (rubber tree)
Lineage: Eukaryota; Viridiplantae; Streptophyta; Magnoliopsida; Malpighiales; Euphorbiaceae
Source: RNAcentral
CAGUUUGUAUGAUGAUAAUGAUGUAAUUCAACAAGGUUUUUAUCUGGGAAUUUUCAUCCGCUUAAAAGUUUGUCCUACCAUGAAAGGAUGCUGUCAACUUUUUGCACACGCUAUAGUACCUAGAAAUCCUUCACUUCCAUCAAUCCCUUGUUUACUCCGCCACUGUGUGAUUGUACAGACUGAAGCCAUAACUAUUAUUCUUUUGUAAUCCCAUAUGAAUGUUCUGAAGUAGUGAAAGAUCAGAGUGCUUUUUUUUUUUAUUCCCUCAGAUCCCUCACGAUCACUGCUUUAAUUAAAACACUUGUAUUUUUGUUUUUCCUUCAACUACAACUUAACAUUUGAAUAUUUAGGAGUCUUAGGCUUGCGAUUCAAUUUGUUAAUUGUCGCUUGAGGAAUUUAACUCAAUAGCAUAAUUUUUUUUCUUUUUUUGUAAGUUGCCUGUUUACCUUAGCUCAUCGAAUCUGAUUAAGGUUUCAGGUGGAUACUGAAUUUGAAAAUAUGUGGCUGUUUUGGUGCUAGGUUUAAGAUAUUCGGUUGUUAGUAGGAAAGAAAGGGAGGGAAUGAAAUGGGUAAAAGAGCGGGAAAAUACAAGAAAGUGCGUGGAAGUUGUUUUCUCCUUUUCUGUUGUUUAGAAAGGAAGGAUAAAAGAGGAGAGAAAAUUGAUGAUGAAGAUAAAUUGAUAAAAAUUCAUUUAAAGCAUCCUUUCCUUCACAUUUCCUUCCCCUUUGGAAGGAAAUGAUUGUGUAGCUGUGAAAGAUGAGCUCUUUUGCUUAUCAUUUCCCCUCUUCUAACUUCUCUUCUAUUGAACAAGGGAAAUAGCAUUCACUUCAUUCCUUUCUUCUCAAGUCUUUCUCUACACUCUGGCAUCUCUCCAAUCUAGUAAAGAGUGAAUUAUGUUUUAGGCUCUAACUUGUUUAAUUGGUUGUAGAAAAUGCUUUUGUGGAAAACACUUUUGGCAAUUUUUUGGUGUUUGACAGAUGUAGGAAAAAUUUUCCAAUGGGAAAAAUUUUCCUGGCUAAUGCUUUAAGUUCUGGGAUUUUGCUUACUCGGGAAAACUAAUGAAACUAGCCGUAUACUAAUGCUUAAUACUUCAUUAACCACCAAUUGUCGGCAAAUCCAGCAAUUUACUUCCUUUUUUUUUUGGGUGUUAUUUUGCUUUUAUUGAAGUAGAGUAAAAUCAAGUGGUGUAUAGACUUCUUAUGAGUUCAAACAUCGUCAUGGUCUUCCUCAUUGAUGCAAAAUUAAUUGGUUUGAGUUUACUCCAAAAUUUCUGAAAAUAAUUUUUAGUUUAUUUUAGUAAAGCCUAUUGGACACAAAAGGCUAGAAAUUUUAGCAAUUAUAUUCAAAUGCUCUAAUUUUGGCAAUUAUAUCCAAAUGUUCUAAUUUUGGACCAUAUGUCCCAACAUUUAAGAUUGGGAACCAAACCUCAAAAUCAAUUUGGGGAAUUUUGAAUUUGGUUUACUUGAAGUAGUUAUUGAUGGAAG